AUACCAUAAUGAGGACAUCUCCUGAGUAACUCUUUAAAUCCUUCUCAUGCAUCAUACAAACUCUCAUUUUCAAGUUGAUGGAAAGAUAUGAUAUUGUUCCUCAAUUU
This 107-nucleotide small nucleolar RNA is filed under the name Citrus sinensis (sweet orange). RNAcentral describes it as "Plant small nucleolar RNA R71". It matches the Rfam family "Plant small nucleolar RNA R71". From Rfam's summary of the family: R71 is a member of the C/D box family of snoRNAs containing the C (UGAUGA) and D (CUGA) box motifs. Multiple nearly identical copies of this snoRNA have been identified in Arabidopsis, and it is thought to function as a 2'-O-ribose methylation guide for 18S ribosomal RNA. Lineage: Eukaryota; Viridiplantae; Streptophyta; Magnoliopsida; Sapindales; Rutaceae. The record is from Rfam by way of RNAcentral.